AUGGCCAUUGGAGACGGCAGGACAACCCUGUUCUGGGAGGAUCGCUGGCUUGGCGGCCAAUCCGUCCACGAGCUCGCGCCCAUGCUUCUCAAGUGCAUCCCCAAGCAACGCCAAAAAUCGAGAACGGUGGCGGAGGCCCUGGCCGGCAACAGCUGGGCGCGUGGCAUCCAUGGUCUGCUCGGCCUCCCAGAGAUUGGACAGUACCUUAAGCUCUGGCACUUAGUGCAGCAUGUCGAGUUGUCCAAUGAGCCGGACAGGCUGCUCUGGAGCUGGACAGCCAACGGCGUCUACACCGCCCAGUCUUGCUACCGGGCAACUUUCCAGGGUGCGACGGGCUGCCACUCCUGGAAGCUCAUUUGGAGGAGCUGGGCACCGCCCAAGGUGAAGUUCUUCCACUGGCUGGCAUGUCAAGAUCGCUGCUGA
RNAcentral lists this ribosomal RNA (423 nucleotides) under Triticum aestivum (bread wheat). Its description in RNAcentral is "partial small subunit ribosomal RNA". The record is from RNAcentral. Lineage: Eukaryota; Viridiplantae; Streptophyta; Magnoliopsida; Poales; Poaceae.